GUCCCCAUGGUGUAAUGGUGAGCGCUCUGGUCUCUGAGUCCAGACAUCCCAGUUCGAAUCUUGGUGGGACU
Molecule: transfer RNA, 71 nt
Filed under: Tauraco erythrolophus (red-crested turaco)
Lineage: Eukaryota; Metazoa; Chordata; Aves; Musophagiformes; Musophagidae
Rfam family: tRNA
About the family: Transfer RNA (tRNA) molecules are approximately 80 nucleotides in length. Their secondary structure includes four short double-helical elements and three loops (D, anti-codon, and T loops). Further hydrogen bonds mediate the characteristic L-shaped molecular structure. tRNAs have two regions of fundamental functional importance: the anti-codon, which is responsible for specific mRNA codon recognition, and the 3' end, to which the tRNAs corresponding amino acid is attached (by aminoacyl-tRNA synthetases). tRNAs cope with the degeneracy of the genetic code in two manners: having more than one tRNA (with a specific anti-codon) for a particular amino acid; and 'wobble' base-pairing, i.e. permitting non-standard base-pairing at the 3rd anti-codon position.
Source: Rfam by way of RNAcentral